CUGGCUCAGAACGAACGCUGGCGGCAGGCCUAACACAUGCAAGUCGAGCGCGCCCUUCGGGGUGAGCGGCGGACGGGUUAGUAACGCGUGGGAACGUACCCUUUGGUAGGGAAUAGCCACUGGAAACGGUGAGUAAUACCCUAUGAGCCCUUCGGGGGAAAGAUUUAUCGCCAAAGGAUCGGCCCGCGUUAGAUUAGGUAGUUGGUGGGGUAAUGGCCUACCAAGCCUACGAUCUAUAGCUGGUUUUAGAGGAUGAUCAGCAACACUGGGACUGAGACACGGCCCAGACUCCUACGGGAGGCAGCAGUGGGGAAUCUUGGACAAUGGGGGCAACCCUGAAUCCAGCCAUGCCGCGUGAGUGAAGAAGGCCUUAGGGUCGUAAAGCUCUUUCGCCUGUGAAGAUAAUGACGGUAGCAGGUAAAGAAACCCCGGCUAACUCCGUGCCAGCAGCCGC
Molecule: ribosomal RNA, 454 nt
Filed under: uncultured bacterium
Lineage: Bacteria
Description: bacterial SSU rRNA
Rfam family: Bacterial small subunit ribosomal RNA
Source: RNAcentral